GACGAACGCUGGCGGCGUGCUUAACACAUGCAAGUCGAACGGAAAGGCCCUGCUUUUGUGGGGUGCUCGAGUGGCGAACGGGUGAGUAACACGUGAGUAACCUGCCCUUGACUUUGGGAUAACUUCAGGAAACUGGGGCUAAUACCGGAUAGGAGCUCCUGCUGCAUGGUGGGGGUUGGAAAGUUUCGGCGGUUGGGGAUGGACUCGCGGCUUAUCAGCUUGUUGGUGGGGUAGUGGCUUACCAAGGCUUUGACGGGUAGCCGGCCUGAGCGGGUGACCGGCCACAUUGGGAAUGAGAUACGGCCCAUACUCCUACGAGAGGGAGCAUGGGGGAAUAUUGCACAAUGGGAGGAAGCCUGAUCCAGCAACGCCGCGUGCGGGAUGACGGCCUUCAGGUUGUAAACCGCUUUCGCCUGGGACGAAGCGUGAGUGACGGUAAUAGGUAAAGAAGCACCGGCUAACUACGUG
This 468-nucleotide ribosomal RNA is filed under the name uncultured bacterium. RNAcentral's name for it is "partial 16S ribosomal RNA". It matches the Rfam family "Bacterial small subunit ribosomal RNA", at positions 28 to 507 of the family's 1533-position model. The record is from RNAcentral.